UACGAAGGGGGCUAGCGUUGCUCGGAAUUACUGGGCGUAAAGGGAGCGUAGGCGGACAUUUAAGUCAGAGGUGAAAUCCCGGAGCUUAACUUCGGAACUGCCUUUGAUACUGGAUGUCUUGAGUGUGAGAGAGGUAUGUGGAACUCCGAGUGUAGAGGUGAAAUUCGUAGAUAUUCGGAAGAACACCAGUGGCGAAGGCGACUCACUGGCUCAUUACUGACGCUGAGGCUCGAAAGCGUGGGGAGCAAACAGG
This 253-nucleotide ribosomal RNA is filed under the name uncultured bacterium. RNAcentral describes it as "partial 16S ribosomal RNA". It matches the Rfam family "Bacterial small subunit ribosomal RNA", at positions 524 to 776 of the family's 1533-position model. The record is from RNAcentral.